GACAUUAAAAGUAACAGUAGUAUCUGUCUAGAUGUCCCGAAGGAGCUGCGCAGUUCUCCAUCGACCAUUCCAAACCGUUGAUUAUCUGUUUAUACGGUCCAUGGUACCACCAACUGCCAGCAACGUACAUCUACUGCAGAUUUUGGAGAUUGAUUUAUGGUGAUGUUUCACUUCUUCCAGAGCUUCAGUUCUUGCUUAGCAGAAUAAUUACAGCUGACAGUGAAUUUGGACGUUGGCAUUCAGAACUCGG
Molecule: long non-coding RNA, 250 nt
Organism: Lolium rigidum
Lineage: Eukaryota; Viridiplantae; Streptophyta; Magnoliopsida; Poales; Poaceae
Exons: 3
Source: RefSeq, a predicted model, not a curated record